GAUGAACGCUGGCGGCGUGCCUAAUACAUGCAAGUCGAGCGAACAGACGAGGAGCUUGCUCCUCUGACGUUAGCGGCGGACGGGUGAGUAACACGUGGAUAACCUACCUAUAAGACUGGGAUAACUUCGGGAAACCGGAGCUAAUACCGGAUAAUAUAUUGAACCGCAUGGUUCAAUAGUGAAAGUCGGUUUUGCUGUCACUUAUAGAUGGAUCCGCGCCGCAUUAGCUAGUUGGUAAGGUAACGGCUUACCAAGGCAACGAUGCGUAGCCGACCUGAGAGGGUGAUCGGCCACACUGGAACUGAGACACGGUCCAGACUCCUACGGGAGGCAGCAGUAGGGAAUAUUCCGCAAUGGGCGAAAGCCUGACGGAGCAACGGCGCGUGAGUGAUGAAGGUCUUCGGAUCGUAAAACUCUGUUAUUAGGGAAGAACAAAUGUGUAAGUAAAUAUGCACGUAUUGACGGUACCUAAUCAGAAAGCCACGGCUAACUACGUG
RNAcentral lists this ribosomal RNA (497 nucleotides) under uncultured bacterium. RNAcentral's name for it is "partial 16S ribosomal RNA". It matches the Rfam family "Bacterial small subunit ribosomal RNA", at positions 28 to 507 of the family's 1533-position model. The record is from RNAcentral.